AAUAACUAGUAUUUUCAAAAAAGACCAUAACCAAAGUGCAUGUUAAAAACAAAAAUUUUUUUAUCACAAUUUAAAAUCAAAUAUGUAAUUUACUUUUAUGUCUUUUUCAAAAUUUUUUUAAUAAAUUAUGAAAAAAGGAAAAAAAAGGGAAGAAAGAAGAAAGUGUGCUAGUAAUAUAUACGCCAAUGCUGAGUCGCGUGAAGUAGCAAAAUUCUUAGUUAACAACUUGUUGCCCAAGAAAUAUAAAAGAAUAAAAUUACAAAAAUGGUAAUCAGAACGCCACAAAGGUCACAUGGAAACGAAGGACAGAAAUGUAAAUUAAAAUAUUCAGAUCCUCUGAUAAUUUACAGCUGUCAAAUUAUUAUUGGCUAUUCCUCUAAUAUACUUAAAUUAUUGUUUUUAAGAGUGAAAAAAAGCCAAGAAUUUUUUUUUUUCAAACAAAGGCGUUUGGUUUGGUUUGGUGGCAGCUCAGCUUCCCGUCACCAGAGUCAUCGUCGUGCGGAAGCUGACAAAAAGAUUACCCAAACUUUCAGAAUUUUUCAUAUAAAUUUCUUUGUUACUUCAUUAUCUAAGAGCAAGAACCAACCCUUGUUCAUUUUUGUUCUGCCAAAAAUGAAUGCUUUCGUGGACAAAUUUCAUGCUCAAGACGACGGGUUUUUGGCUGCCUAUGCACCUGCUAAAGCGAUGCCCCAGAAGCUCAUUAUCGAUACUGACCCUGGGAUCGAUGAUAGCAUGGCAAUCUUAAUGGCGUUUCAAUCUCCUGAGUUAGAGAUCUUAGGCUUGACAACAAUAUUUGGUAAUGUCACAACAAAAAAUGCAACACGUAAUGCUUUGCUUCUGUGUGAGAUCGCAGGGUGUCCGGGUCUUCCUGUGGCAGAAGGCAGCCCUGAGCCUCUAAAGGGAGGAGAGCCACGUGUUGCUGACUUUGUUCAUGGUUCUGACGGACUGGGAAACAUUUUUUUACCUUCUCCAACAGCAAAGAAAUUUGAGAAGACUGCUUCUGAAUUUUUAGUUGACAAGGUCUCUGAAUACCCUGGUGAAGUAUCUAUACUUGCACUAGGACCACUGACUAACUUGGCUCUGGCAAUCAAAAGGGACUCCUCCUUUGCAAACAAGGUGAAAAAAUAUAGUUGUACUUGGAGGUGCAUUUUUUGCACUGGGAAAUGUAAAUCCUGCUGCUGAAGGAAAUGUAACUGCUAAUGUGUAUAUCUAUCUGAUCUGUACAAUCGAGCUAUGGAAAUACAUACAUUGUCUGACUUAGCCUACUCCUUCAGUUAGCCUACUCCUUCAGUGGAUCUUUUCCUAGUUGGAUACUUGUUUCUUAAUCUCUUACUACUUUAAAUGUGAUAAGACCCCCACUCAAUAAUGUUGAUAAUGUUUUAUGUUGAUGGAAGGUGUUGCAUUGUAUAAUAGAAGCAACAGUAAUUUGAUAAGCCUCCAAUAUUGUACUUUAACGUUUAGCUUUCUGCAACUUAAGAUCACAUGCUAAAUAAGUUUUAGCUAACUUGAAUAACUGUUUUGCCAACAAAUAUGCUUCAAGUUCAAGUCCAACAUUUUUGGGACUUGCAGAUUUAUGGGGACGCAGAAGCGGCAGAUGUAGUCUUUACAUCUGGAGCAAACAUUGUUGUCGUUGGAAUAAAUAUCACAACCCAAGUUAAAUUUACAGAUGAUGACCUUCUUGAAUUGAGGCAAUCAAAGGGAAAUAUGCUCAAAUAAUAUGUGACAUGUGCAAAUUCUAUAGAGAUUGGCAUGUGAAGUCUGAUGGUGUAUAUGGUAAUUUUCCAUUUCCAUCUUUUAUCAACAUAGAAUUCUUCUUUUCAAGGUUUAUAUUUUGCCUAUUUGUUUGAGCUUUUAUGUAUUUUAGUGAAAUGCUCCUUGAGUUGUUGUUCCAGGGAUUUUUCUUCAUGACCCUGUGAGUUUUGUAGCGCUAGUUUGCCGUGAUCUCUUCACAUAAAAGAAGGGGGUUGUGAGAGUCGAGACACAGGGCAUCGUGUGGGAUAUACACUGAUGGGCCAAGGACUUAAAAUGUAUAUCCAAACCUAGGAUGCUCUUUAAUGUAUUCUAAUUGGUUUUGCUUUUGCUUUCUCCAAUCAUUAUGCUGUAAUUUGAUGCAUUUGUAGUACAAGCACCCUUGGACAGGAUAUGCCCCUAUAGAAGUUGCUUGGGCAGUUGAUGGGGAAGAAGUGCUCAAUUACAUCAGAAAAUUGUUGAUGAAACCGUGAGAAUUAUUCUCCAUCCUGGCUUUUUGAAGAUGCCAGACGCCAAGUAGGAAUGUUGAAGGCCCAUAUGAUCUUUGCCUUCACUUUCUGGUUUGGGCACAAGGGGCCAACAAUUGUUCUAACAAUCAUUUCAAACUCCGAAGCAUGCGUGCAAAAACAUUCUCUUGAUUGAUUUUCAACUAGAUGAAUUCAACAUAGCGAGUUCUGUUGUUUAACCUGUGUACCAGCACUUGGGCUAAAACAAUGGGCAACAAACCACGGUGUUGCAAUGUGGAAGCGUCUCUUAUGUCAACAAUUAAGCACUUAAGCUCGAAGAUCAAGCAACUGUCUUGUAGUACAUGAUGUUAAGGGUUUAACAACUUUGAGGCAUUUGGUUAUUUAACCAUUUUUAGUUUGUUUGCUAUCUUUUCAACUAUCUCUCCAAUUGAUAAUUCAUAAAGCAGAGUCAUAUUAGGUCUUCA
Molecule: unclassified non-coding RNA, 2680 nt
Filed under: Hevea brasiliensis (rubber tree)
Lineage: Eukaryota; Viridiplantae; Streptophyta; Magnoliopsida; Malpighiales; Euphorbiaceae
Source: RNAcentral